Molecule: ribosomal RNA, 253 nt
Filed under: uncultured bacterium
Lineage: Bacteria
Description: partial 16S ribosomal RNA
Rfam family: Bacterial small subunit ribosomal RNA
Source: RNAcentral
UACGAAGGGUGCAAGCGUUACUCGGAAUUACUGGGCGUAAAGCGUGCGUAGGUGGUUCGUUAAGUCUGAUGUGAAAGCCCUGGGCUCAACCUGGGAAUGGCAUUGGAUACUGGCGAUCUAGAGUGCGGUAGAGGGCAGUGGAGUUCCCGGUGUAGCAGUGAAAUGCGUAGAGAUCGGGGGGAACAUCUGUGGCGAAGGCGACUGCCUGGACCAGCACUGACACUGAGGCACGAAAGCGUGGGGAGCAAACAGG